UCUCAUUGGAUAAGUGCCCAUUGUGUUC
Molecule: small RNA, 28 nt
Filed under: Bombyx mori (domestic silkworm)
Lineage: Eukaryota; Metazoa; Arthropoda; Insecta; Lepidoptera; Bombycidae
Description: ovarian small RNA-7713
Source: RNAcentral